Molecule: non-coding RNA, 46 nt
Filed under: Schistosoma curassoni
Lineage: Eukaryota; Metazoa; Platyhelminthes; Trematoda; Strigeidida; Schistosomatidae
Source: RNAcentral
AAACUGCUGAGAAGUCCCACAAUAGGACGAAACGGCCGUUUAGUUU